AUGAACGCUGGCGGCGUGCCUAAUACCUGCAAGUCGAGCGAACAGACGAGGAGCUUGCUCCUCUGACGUUAGCGGCGGACGGGUGAGUAACACGUGGAUAACCUACCUAUAAGACUGGGAUAACUUCGGGAAACCGGAGCUAAUACCGGAUAAUAUAUUGAACCGCAUGGUUCAAUAGUGAAAGACGGUUUUGCUGUCACUUAUAGAUGGAUCCGCGCCGCAUUAGCUAGUUGGUAAGGUAACGGCUUACCAAGGCGACGAUGCGUAGCCGACCUGAGAGGGUGAUCGGCCACACUGGAACUGAGACACGGUCCAGACUCCUACGGGAGGCAGCAGUAGGGAAUCUUCCGCAAUGGGCGAAAGCCUGAUGGAGCAACGCCGCGUGAGUGAUGAAGGUCUUCGGAUCGUAAAACUCUGUUAUUAGGGAAGAACAAAUGUGUAAGUAACUAUGCACGUCUUGACGGUACCUAAUCAGAAAGCCACGGCUAACUACGUG
RNAcentral lists this ribosomal RNA (496 nucleotides) under uncultured bacterium. RNAcentral describes it as "partial 16S ribosomal RNA". It matches the Rfam family "Bacterial small subunit ribosomal RNA", at positions 29 to 507 of the family's 1533-position model. The record is from RNAcentral.